CUGUGUAUAUUUGAUAAAAAAUACAGUAAUAAUUGUUCUCUAUUUUAAUAUAUGAAUUAAUUAGUUAACUAAAACCAUAAAAAACAUUAUGUUAGUUAAAAUAAAAUAAAUAUUAACUAUAUUAAAAUAUUAAAAUAUUUUAGCAUAUUUCCAAGGCAAUAUUUCUCAUUUUCAUUUAGUUUAACUUACUGAAAUAAACUAAAACUGAAAUAAAAAUGAUAACGAUUAAAAUGAAAAAUUAUAUAGUUGUGUUUAAAAAAAUGCUAAAACUUAAACUAAACAACAACAAUUAACAUGAACAGCAGAUAAAAUAAAAUCGAAUUCAAAAUAUUAACAAAAACUACACUGCUCAAAAAAUUAAAGGAACACUUUGAAAACAUCAGAUCUCAAUGGGGAAAAUAUGCUGGACAACUAUACUGAUAUGGACUAGGUAAUGUGUUAGGAAUCAAAGGAUGCCACAUCGUUUGAUGGAAAUGAAAAUGAUCAAUCUACAGUGGGCUGAAAAUUUCACAAAACCCCAAAAAUUUCACAAAUUUCAAAAAGUGAAAAAAUGAUGCAGCAGUCUAGUCCAUUUUGCUGAAACUUCAUUGCAGCAACUCAAAAUGGUACUUAGUAGUUUGUAUGGCCCCCACAUGCUUGUAUGCAUGCCUGACAACGUCGGGGUAUGCUCCUAAUGAGACGAAGGAUGGUGUCCUGGGGCAUUUCCUCCCAGAUCUGGACCAGGGCAUCACUGAGCUCCUGGACAGUCUUGAGGUCCAACCUGGCGGCGUUGUGUGGAGGUGGAGGCUAUUGGAUUUAGGUCAGGCGAGCAUGGGGGCCAUUCAAUGGUAUCAAUUCCUUCAUCUUCCAGGAACUGCCUGCAUACUCUCGCCACAUGAGGCCAGGCAUUCUCGUGCACCAGGAGGAACCCAGGAUCCACUGCACCAGCGAAGAGUCUUACAAUGGCAGUCAGGGUACAACUGUCUAGCCUGUAGAGGUCUGUGCGUCCCUCCAUGGAUAUGCCUCCCCAGACCAUCAAUGACCCACUACUAAACCGGUCAUGCUGAACAAUGUUACAGGCAGCAUAACAUUUUGUAGGGCUCUGGCAGUGCUCAUCCUGUUCCUGCUGGCACAAAUGAACAGAUACCAGUCCUGCUUAUGGUUCAAGGACCUUCUAUGGCCCUGUCCAGCUCUCCUAGAGUAACUGCCUGUCUCCUGGAAUCUCCUCCUCAUUUUUGAGACUGUGCUGGGAGACACAGCAAACCUUCUGGCAAUGGCACAUAUUGAUGUGCCAUCCUGGAGGAGUUGGACUGCCUGUGCAACCUUUGUAGGUAUCGCCUCAUGCUACCAGUAGUGACACUGACCCUAGCCAAAUGUAAAACUAGUGAAAAACAGUCAGAAUGAGUAGGGGAAAAAAAUGUCAAUGGCCUCCACCUGUAAAACCAUUCCUGUUUUGGGGGUCAUCUUAUUGUUGCCUGUCUAGUGUACCUGUUGUUAAUUUCAUUAACACCAAAGCAGCAACUGAUUAACAACCCCCUCUGCUACUUAACUUACCAGAUCAAUAUCCCAGAAGUUUAAUGGACUUGAUGCUAUACUCUGAUUAAAAAGUGUUCCUUUCAUUUCUUUUUUUUUUAGCACUGUAUAAUAGUAUCUCAAUGCCACUAAAAUGUUAAAAAGGACAGCAAUCUUUUGUAACAUUAUAAAAGCCUUUAAUGGGGCUUUUAAUCAAUUUAAUGCAUCUUUGCUAACUAAAAGUAAAAAAAAAAAAAAAAAAUCUCACCUCAGACUUUUGAAGAGUAGUGUAUAUACUGUAUAUUCACUGUAUAUAUGUUGCAUCUGUUUAUUUGCAGUCACUUUACAAGUGCUCUCUCAACUCCUCAGCGUCUGUAUAAAUAAUACUACUGGAGCACUGCCAGUGGUUUAUGAUCUGCUUGUAAAAGUAUGCUGCUGCCAUUUUGAUUUGAGAGUGUUUCUGUUUGUCUUAAAGUGGUAAUCAGGUUGUAUUCCAUGUGUUUUAUUGUCUUCAUCUGAUUUACUGUCUGUAAUCAGCCAAAGGUGUAAAUGACACACCUGCGCCGUCUCCCUC
Molecule: long non-coding RNA, 2065 nt
Organism: Cyprinus carpio carpio
Lineage: Eukaryota; Metazoa; Chordata; Actinopteri; Cypriniformes; Cyprinidae
Source: Ensembl